UACGAAGGGGGCUAGCGUUGUUUGGAAUCACUGGGCGUAAAGCGCUCGUAGGCGGAUUUUUAAGUCAGGGGUGAAAUCCCGAGGCUCAACCUCGGAACUGCCUUUGAUACUGGAGAUCUUGAGUCCGGAAGAGGUAAGUGGAACUGCGAGUGUAGAGGUGAAAUUCGUAGAUAUUCGCAAGAACACCAGUGGCGAAGGCGGCUUACUGGUCCGGAACUGACGCUGAGGUGCGAAAGCGUGGGGAGCAAACAGG
Molecule: ribosomal RNA, 253 nt
Filed under: uncultured bacterium
Lineage: Bacteria
Description: partial 16S ribosomal RNA
Rfam family: Bacterial small subunit ribosomal RNA
Source: RNAcentral